UACGUAAUAUAAGCUUCAAUUUAAGGUAAAAUUCAACCACCAACGCUUCGCAAAACGUUUUAAAGUGUUCUUUAUAAAACUAAACUGCCUUUUGGCUUUAUCGAUAAACAUUGAGUUUCAAAUAAAAUGAUUUCAAAUUUUCGCAUGCAAAUAACUUUGCUUCCUUUUUUAUUUAAAAAAAAUUAAUAUAAUAAAAAAGAGUAGUCAAUAAAGUAUACACUGAAAUUAUAUGCUGUCUUGUUUCGUUUAUACGCAACGUUUAUACGAUCGGCUUUUAAAGCAAUUAUAAAGCAAACAAUACAUUAAUAUUUAAAACAAACUUACCUUCGUUAACGUCGGCGCCUUUGCUCCCUUCUUUUAGCCGAUUCUUUCGCCCUUUUUUCUUAAAAAGCUUUUGAAAUUCACAAAAUCUUGUAAAAAUGAAAUAUAUUUGCAAGAAAUCAUCAAAUCAAGAAAUGUUUGCUAUUUCGCUGUCGUCAUGCAGUCGUUAUAAUGCAAAUUUUAAAUUUGACCAAUCAGUGUUCGCUAUUCAUGACAGUCCGCCAUAUUUUUGAGAUCAGUGAGGAUGACCACCUACCGUUGGUCACUCACGCCCGCGAUCAUUGAUGAACUUUAGACUUCGCUAAUGCUUUCGUUUCCCUGGGUGUAAAUAGCCGGGGGGAAUGAAUACCCUCGCCCCGGGCUUACGCCUGGUCGGGGAAAAUAUACAUGCAUUUUUAAAACUUUAAUUGCUUUCUUUUUUAUUAAAAAAAAUAGUAUAAUAAAAAAAGGUAAUCAAUAAAGAUACACUGAAAUUAUAUGCUGUCUUGUUUCAUUAUACGCAACGAUCAGCUUUUAAAGCAAACAAUCCUUCCUUCUGGGCGUGAAUUCUGUUUAAAUAAAGUCCAUGGAAAUUCCAAUAUUAACAUGUCAACAAUCGAAGCGUUGAAGAACUAGACUUGCAGGAACUAGAUUUGUAAGCUAUAACUAUAUAAAGGUAGAAACUAUAAAAUUGCAC
Molecule: non-coding RNA, 997 nt
Organism: Paramuricea clavata
Lineage: Eukaryota; Metazoa; Cnidaria; Anthozoa; Malacalcyonacea; Plexauridae
Source: the annotation of a GenBank genome assembly